This is a non-coding RNA of Myotis brandtii (Brandt's bat), 73 nucleotides long. NCBI's taxonomy places the organism in Eukaryota, Metazoa, Chordata, Mammalia, Chiroptera, Vespertilionidae. The record is from Rfam.
GGUGGUUCUCAGGUGAUGCACCCCAGAAUGGGGCUCCCUCCUCUCGUUCCAGGUGUGUCACCCAAGAACCACA